GGGAAUGUAGCUCAGUGGUAGAGCACUUGCCUAGCAUGUUUGAGUCCCUGGGAUCAAUCCCUAGCACCCCCA
Molecule: transfer RNA, 72 nt
Filed under: Marmota marmota marmota (Alpine marmot)
Lineage: Eukaryota; Metazoa; Chordata; Mammalia; Rodentia; Sciuridae
Also listed under: 2 other names
Rfam family: tRNA
About the family: Transfer RNA (tRNA) molecules are approximately 80 nucleotides in length.
Source: Rfam by way of RNAcentral